GUUGGGAAAGCGUCAGAUUGAAGAUCUGAAGGUCACGUGUUUGAUCCACGUUUACUACA
Gossypium raimondii (Peruvian cotton) is the source of this 59-nucleotide non-coding RNA. Lineage: Eukaryota; Viridiplantae; Streptophyta; Magnoliopsida; Malvales; Malvaceae. The record is from Rfam.